This is a long non-coding RNA of Suricata suricatta (meerkat), 1451 nucleotides long. RefSeq lists it as uncharacterized. Lineage: Eukaryota; Metazoa; Chordata; Mammalia; Carnivora; Herpestidae. The record is from RefSeq and is a predicted model, not a curated record. The transcript has 2 exons.
UGUGAUUCAAGGUCAUGUCUAGUUGACUUAUCUCUGAUGUGAGAGGUGUAGUUCACUCAUUUUUGCUGCUUGUAAAGUUUUACAUUUUGUGACUCACUCUAUUUGAUAUUUUCCUAUUUCUGUUUUAUGUGAUCAUUCCAGUUUUUCCUAUCAACGUUAGUGCACCUGUCUUCUGGGACACAUGGGCCAGAGAUCCCCCAGAGUGGACGAUCAGGAGGAGGAUUGCUGGAAUGUAUGCGAGAUGUGCUGUAACCAGACCGGCACACGCCAACUUGAUUUCCAAAGUGCUUGGGCCAGUGUAACCUUUCACUAGAAAUGUGCAUGUGUUUAUGUUGCUGUUCUGAUUGCUCUGAAAAUGAAAGCUGAGAGGCAGCUCUUUCACUGAAGGGCAGGAAGUAAGUGUGACCGUCACUGCCUGGUUGCAGGACUGCUCAGUUCUGACCCUAUUCAUAACUUGAUUUCCUUUACUUGUAUUCCACGUACCUUGUUAUUGUAUGUGCAGCCUCUAAGUGCAGAUAUGCUUCCUUUCAGCAUCACCAUAUAGAAUUAUUUUAUUCCUUUGGAAUCUUUUAUCUUAUAUUUUUAGAAUCAUCCAUAAUAAAGACAGAGGAGGGAAAGAGGGGAUCCAGAUGGACACAAGGAAGGACAAAAGAAAAUAGAAAAUGAAAGCAAGAACAAGAGGAGAGGAAUUGCAAACAGAGAAAGGUGUGUUGCACUAUCACAGACCAGCAGGCAACCUAAGUGAAGUGAGCAAGGCCGGAGGGGAGUCCUCAGCUACAGUCAGCCAUCAGAGAGCCCCAUGCCACCCAGACACCGCCUGCCUUCCUGUCCCUUCUGUGACCUGUUACUGUGUGGACCCAACCCACGGGAAGCAGGACCUCUGCACAAAUCCUGCCAUGGACUGCAGAGCACCGGUGUGGGGGCCCUUGUGACUUACCUGGGAGUGUGACCCAAACCUUCCUCCUUGAGGGGUCUGGGCCCUGGGAAAUGAAGGCCUUUUCAGGAUGGUUUCCUGCAUUUGUCCUUUCAUAGUUGCAAUGGGGCAGGGGAGAGCCAGCAGGCACCCAAGUCUGCCACCGGAGUUCCCCUGCAUUCCUCUUAUCCCAAUUGUGAAAGAGGAGCCCCACCCCCUCCUGAGGGUCAGGGUGGAUUACUUCUGCCUGGAGAAGAGCAGACCUCUCCCCUGGGCACACGGAGAAGUCCAAACACCCUGGUGGCAGCCAUAAUGGGUAUGAAGUUCAAUCAAAAUCCUCAUUUCCAAGACCUCCGCACUGCCGUGCCCAGAAUUGCAGAAAAAAGAAGCAUAACUUCCCCCAGUGGGUGACUGGAAGCAAUGGUAAGUGGAGUGAUACUUGCUUCCAUCACUUGGUUCCUGGACUCACACAUUCUUCUUGAAACCACAGCACCAUAUAGAGCGGUCUGAUUCAAUAAAUAUUCUGCAGCAUGGAAAA